AAGAAAUAUUAUUUAAAAGCUUCUAACUUUUUACAAGCAAUAAUUUGUUAUAUUUCUAUU
This 60-nucleotide transfer RNA is filed under the name Cautires sp. UPOL MM0015. RNAcentral describes it as "tRNA-Ser". Lineage: Eukaryota; Metazoa; Arthropoda; Insecta; Coleoptera; Lycidae. The record is from RNAcentral. RNAcentral also lists the same sequence under 1 other name.